UACGUAGGGUGCAAGCGUUAAUCGGAAUUACUGGGCGUAAAGCGUGCGCAGGCGGCUAUGCAAGACAGAUGUGAAAUCCCCGGGCUCAACCUGGGAACUGCAUUUGUGACUGCAUAGCUAGAGUACGGUAGAGGGGGGAUGGAAAUUUCCGCGUGUAGCAGUGAAAAUGCGUAGAUAUGCGGGAGGGAACACCCGAUGGCGAA
RNAcentral lists this ribosomal RNA (203 nucleotides) under uncultured bacterium. RNAcentral describes it as "partial 16S ribosomal RNA". It matches the Rfam family "Bacterial small subunit ribosomal RNA", at positions 524 to 719 of the family's 1533-position model. The record is from RNAcentral.